Molecule: ribosomal RNA, 1802 nt
Filed under: freshwater metagenome
Description: bacterial LSU rRNA
Rfam family: Bacterial large subunit ribosomal RNA
Source: RNAcentral
GACAGCUAGGAUGUUGGCUUGGAAGCAGCCAUUCAUUUAAAGAGUGCGUAACAGCUCACUAGUCGAGCGGACGAGCAUGGAUAAUAAUCGGGCAUAAGCAUACUACCGAAGCUAUGGAUUUGUAGUAAUACAAGUGGUAGGGGAGCAUUCUAAACUGGGUCGAAGGUGUGAUGUGAGUCAUGCUGGACUGUUUAGAAAAGAAAAUGUAGGCAUAAGUAACGAUAAUGCGGGCGAGAAACCCGCACACCGAAAAACUAAGGUUUCCGCAGCUAUGCUAAUCAGCUGCGGGUUAGUCGGGUCCUAAGGCGCACCCGAAGGGGGAAGUCGAUGGCCAACGGGUUAAUAUUCCCGUACUACUUAUAAUUGUGAUGGAGAGACGCAGUGGUGAAAGUACCGCGAACUGACGGAAUAGUUCGUUAAAGCACUUAGCUAUAGGCCCGGUAGGCAAAUCCGCUGGGACUGGUGAAAUGCGAUAGUACUCAGAGUCUUCGGACAACGAGAUAGUGUACCUAAAGGCUGCCAAGAAAAUCUUCUAAACUUAGAUUAUAAGUACCCGUACCGUAAACCGACACAGGUAGUUGAGGAGAGAAUCCUAAGGUGCUCGAGAGAUUCAUGGCUAAGGAAUUAGGCAAAAUAGACCUGUAACUUCGGGAGAAAGGUCGCCAGCAGCAAUGCUGGCCGCAGUGAAGAGGUCCAGGCGACUGUUUAUCAAAAACACAGGGCUCUGCAAAAUCGUAAGAUGAAGUAUAGGGCCUGACACCUGCCCGGUGCUUGAAGGUUAAGUGGAGAUGUUAUCUUCGGAGAAGCAUUGAAAUGAAGCCCAAGUAAACGGCGGCCGUAACUAUAACGGUCCUAAGGUAGCGAAAUUCCUUGUCGGGUAAGUUCCGACCUGCACGAAUGGUGUAACGAUCUGGACACUGUCUCAGCCAUGAGCUCGGUGAAAUUGUAGUAUCGGUGAAGAUGCCGAUUACCCGCAGUGGGACGAAAAGACCCUGUGCACCUUUACUAUAGCUUAGUAUUGACCUUGGACACGUGAUGUGUAGGAUAGGUGGGAGACUAUGAAGGGGCUUCGCUAGGAGUUCUGGAGUCAUUGUUGAAAUACCACCCUUUGCUUGUCUGAGGCCUAACCCCGCUGUGCGGGGGACAUUGCUUGGUGGGUAGUUUGACUGGGGUGGUCGCCUCCAAAAGAGUAACGGAGGCUUCUAAAGGUUCCCUCAGCACGCUUGGUAACCGUGCGUAGAGUGCAAUGGCAUAAGGGAGCUUGACUGAGAGACAUACAGGUCGAUCAGGUACGAAAGUAGAGCAUAGUGAUCCGGUGGUUCCGCAUGGAAGGGCCAUCGCUCAAAGGAUAAAAGGUACGCCGGGGAUAACAGGCUGAUCUCCCCCAAGAGCUCAUAUCGACGGGGGGGUUUGGCACCUCGAUGUCGGCUCGUCACAUCCUGGGGCUGGAGAAGGUCCCAAGGGUUGGGCUGUUCGCCCAUUAAAGUGGCACGCGAGCUGGGUUCAGAACGUCGUGAGACAGUUCGGUCCCUAUCUGUUGUGGGCGUUGGAAAAUUGAGAGAAUCUGACCUUAGUACGAGAGGACCGGGUUGGACGCACCUCUGGUGGAUCUGUUAUGGCGCCAGCUGUAUCGCAGAGUAGCUACGUGCGGAAUAGAUAAGCGCUGAAAGCAUCUAAGCGCGAAACUAGUCUCAAGAUGAGUUUUCCUUUAAGGGUCGUAGAAGACUACUACGUUGAUAGGCUACAGAUGUAAAUACAGUAAUGUAUGAGUCGAGUAGUACUAAUUACCCGUAGACUUACCU